RNAcentral lists this ribosomal RNA (142 nucleotides) under uncultured Alphaproteobacteria bacterium. RNAcentral's name for it is "partial 16S ribosomal RNA". It matches the Rfam family "Bacterial small subunit ribosomal RNA", at positions 537 to 678 of the family's 1533-position model. The record is from RNAcentral. Lineage: Bacteria; Pseudomonadati; Pseudomonadota; Alphaproteobacteria.
AGCGUUGCUCGGAAUCACUGGGCGUAAAGGGUGCGUAGGUGGGUCUUUAAGUCAGAGGUGAAAUCCUGGAGCUCAACUCCAGAACUGCCUUUGAUACUGAGGGUCUUGAGUUCGGGAGAGGUGAGUGGAACUGCGAGUGUAG